UAGGGAAUCUUCCACAAUGGACGCAAGUCUGAUGGAGCAACGCCGCGUGAGUGAAGAAGGUUUUCGGAUCGUAAAGCUCUGUUGUUGGUGAAGAAGGAUAGAGGCAGUAACUGGUCUUUAUUUGACGGUAAUCAACCAGAAAGUCACGGCUAACUACGUGCCAGCAGCCGCGGUAAUACGUAGGUGGCAAGCGUUGUCCGGAUUUAUUGGGCGUAAAGCGAGCGCAGGCGGAAUGAUAAGUCNGAUGUGAAAGCCCACGGCUCAACCGUGGAACUGCAUCGGAAACUGUCAUUCUUNAGUGCAGA
RNAcentral lists this ribosomal RNA (305 nucleotides) under uncultured bacterium. Its description in RNAcentral is "partial 16S ribosomal RNA". It matches the Rfam family "Bacterial small subunit ribosomal RNA", at positions 355 to 652 of the family's 1533-position model. The record is from RNAcentral.